Molecule: ribosomal RNA, 1180 nt
Filed under: uncultured eukaryote
Lineage: Eukaryota
Description: partial 18S ribosomal RNA
Rfam family: Eukaryotic small subunit ribosomal RNA
Source: RNAcentral
GUUUUGUAAAGAGGAGGAUACUAAUUGUCCUUAUCCAGCAGCGGUGUUAAUUCCAGCUCCAAUAAUCGUUAUUAUAGUGUGUUGCAGUUAAAAAGCUCGUAGUUUGAUUUAGGGUUUAUUUUUAAAAUGGAACUUAUCCUUUCUGGUAUUUCUAUGAUUGGAUUUGUUCCUAUAAACCUUUAUGAUAAAUAAUAAACAUCCUGUUCUUUCAGGGAAAAGGGUGGUUUUAAUUUUAACCCCUUUUACUUUGAAAAAAAUUAGAGUGUUUCAAAGCCAGCAUUUUUUUGUUUUGGUCCUGCAAUACUUUAGCAUGGGGAUAAUAAAAUAUGACUCUUAUUCUAUUUUUAUUGGUUCUUUUAGAAUAUCAAAGUAGAUUUUUUUUUCUAAUAGCAAUAUUAGAGAAGGGAUCUAUUUGGAGUAAUGAUUAAUAGAAAUAGUUGGGGGUGUUUAUAUUUCAUUGUCAGAGGUGAAAUUCUUGGAUUUAUGAAAGAUAAACUUAUGCGAAAGCAUUCAUCAAGAAUAUUUUCAUUAACAAAGAACGACAGAUUAAGGAUCGAAGACGAUCAGAUACCGUCGUAGUUUAAUCUAUAAAUUAUGCCGACCAGGGGUUAGAGAAUGUGUUAAACUGAAUCAAGUUCGCAAGGGCUUGGUUCAAUUACUUCUUUAGAACCUUUGUGAGAAAUCCAUUGAGUGUUUGGGUUCUGGGUGUAGUAUUGGUCGCAAGACUGUAACUUAAAGGAAUUGACGGAAGGGCACCACCCAGGAUGGAGCCUGCGGCUUAAUUUGACUUCAACACGGGGAAACUCACCAGGUCCAGACAUGAUUAGGAUUGACAAAUUGAAAGCUCUUUCUUGAUUCUAUGGGGGGGGGUGCUGGGCCUUUCUUAGUUGGUGGAAGGAUCGACCUGGUUAUUUCCGAUACCGAACGAACCCCCAUUCUAUUUAAUUAGUAACCGGAAAUAGUUAUUCAAAAGUGAAUUGUAAGGGCAGGGAUCUUUUUUCUAAUUUGGCAGGAAGUUUUUUCUUUCCCUAAUAGUAGGGGAAGUCUUGCGUGGAUCUCUUUAUUUAUUCCAGUUUUUAAGUUACUUCUUAGAGGGACUAUUAACGUUAAAUUUGUUUUUAGUUAUUGGAAGUUUGGGCAAUAACAGCUCUGUGAUGCCCAGAGAGAUUAUUCCCUUCUU